Molecule: ribosomal RNA, 253 nt
Filed under: uncultured bacterium
Lineage: Bacteria
Description: partial 16S ribosomal RNA
Rfam family: Bacterial small subunit ribosomal RNA
Source: RNAcentral
UACGGAGGGUGCAAGCGUUAUCCGGAUUCACUGGGUUUAAAGGGUGCGUAGGUGGGCAGGUAAGUCAGUGGUGAAAUAUGGCAGCUCAACUGUCAGGGUGCCAUUGAUACUGCAGAGCUUGAGUACAGAUGAGGUAGGCGGAAUUGACGGUGUAGCGGUGAAAUGCUUAGAUAUCGUCAAGAACACCGAUAGCGAAGGCAGCUUACUGGGCUGUAACUGACGCUGAGGCACGAAAGUGUGGGGAUCAAACAGG